RNAcentral lists this ribosomal RNA (494 nucleotides) under uncultured bacterium. Its description in RNAcentral is "partial 16S ribosomal RNA". It matches the Rfam family "Bacterial small subunit ribosomal RNA", at positions 28 to 507 of the family's 1533-position model. The record is from RNAcentral.
GACGAACGCUGGCGGCGUGCUUAACACAUGCAAGUCGAACGGAAAGGCCUGCUUUCCCUUGUGGAUUGCGGGUACUCGAGUGGCGAACGGGUGAGUAACACGUGAGUGAUCUGCCCCCAACUUGGGUAUAAGCCUGGGAAACUGGGUCUAAUUCCCGAUAGGACUGCAGGGUGGUGCCUGUGGUGGAAAAGGAUGUUCUAGUGGUUGGGGAUGAGCUCGCGGCCUUUCAGCUUGUUGGUGGGGUAAUGGCCUACCAAGGCGGCGACGGGGAGCCGGCCUGGGAGGGUGGACGGCCACAUUGGAACUGCGAUACGGGCACGACUACUACGGGAGGCAGCAGUGGGGAAUAAUGCACAAGGGGCGGAAGACUGAGGCCGGGACGCCGAGUGGGCGAUGACGGCCUUCGGGUUGUAGCCUCCUUUCGACCGCGAGGAAGCCACCUGGUUGGAAGGGUGGUGACGGUAGUGGUAGAAGAAGCACCGGCUAACUACGUG